RNAcentral lists this long non-coding RNA (464 nucleotides) under Hordeum vulgare. Its description in RNAcentral is "long non-coding RNA (HVUL_LNC017442)". The record is from RNAcentral. Lineage: Eukaryota; Viridiplantae; Streptophyta; Magnoliopsida; Poales; Poaceae.
CACGUUAUUGCUAGUUGAGAAUGUACUUAUACGAUCGUUCCACCACAGUUUGGAACUUGUUCUGGUGAAAUCAUUGUAGUAGAUUGUACGAUUAGGAAACAUUGGGAUCAUGCAAUCCAAGCACAAUUUAGUGUUUGGUAAAGAAUUAGUAUAAAGAAGUUGGCGAGUUGGACAAAGCUCUGGCUGCCAGACUAAGAGCUUGAGCAAUCACUCUGAUGAUCCACAUCAACUGCUUUUCCAAUUUCCAUGUUUAGGACAUUGCAACCGGGCAGCCUUAGCUCCUCUCACGUCAUCAGCUACUUCUGCUGUCAGCAUGCACGUCUUAGUCAUUACUAGCUAAUGUUGCAUGUUAAUACCUUUGUUUUUGCUCAGUCGUACAGCGGCUCUUCGGGUGAAAAAAAAUCAGACUAUCUCUGUGUACUGAACCUUGUACCAUCUAUCUCUGGCGACUUUGCAAAUACUGA